GUGUUUAAUUAUUUCUGACGUAUUUUUGUCCUCCCUUCUCUAAAGUAACUAUGCAUUCCUCUCCUUGCCCCAAUAAUCCACCUUAUUCCUAUCAUAACCUUAUUGUCUUGAUUUGCUCUUUGAUUUUCCAGCUAAUAAUGUUGUAAUGAUUAUGAUCAUUUGAGUUUCUUUGAUUAUUACAUUGCUUUGAAUUAUUGCUUAUCUUCUCUCCAUCAAGUAUUUUAAAGGGAUUUGACAAGGGAAGAAAGAAGAAGACCAGUGCUGACCAAGAGAAGAAGAAGAGUCCAUUGCCAAGCUUUGUCCAGCAGCCAAUAUCUGAUAAUGGAGCAGAAGAUGAGACUGACCUCAACUUGUUAACAAGACUGGAGAUGAAGGGCUAACUACUGUCUAACCUGAAAUCUUUGGUAGGGGUUUAUGCUGGCAUUGAUCCUGUUUCCAAAAGCAGCUCGCCAUGUUUCUGUGAGAGUCCAGAG
Long non-coding RNA from Saccostrea cuccullata (small rock oyster), 473 nucleotides. RefSeq lists it as uncharacterized. NCBI's taxonomy places the organism in Eukaryota, Metazoa, Mollusca, Bivalvia, Ostreida, Ostreidae. The transcript has 3 exons. The record is from RefSeq and is a predicted model, not a curated record.